UGGGAAUGGUGCUGCCGCUGCCAAGAGCGUGCUCGAUCUGGAAUGUAGGGAUGGAGCAGGAUACAUGCUUCUGGCCAAUGCCUACAGUGUUAUGAUCCGGCGCAAAAAGACAAAGAUCUCGUUGCCCUAGACUAUGCUACGCCACCUCUUGAGGUUCCUCACCACCCAACCACCCCUGAGCUACCUCAAAAGCUCCACUGCGCCGCCACUCCACCGUGAGCCCUAGGGUAGGUUAAGUCCCUUACCCUAACAUGCCUUAAUAUACCCUUGAGCCUCCCUUUGACCGACGUUGACCACGUAGUCAAAGCUAGCGCCUAACAAUUCUUCCCCCCCAACAAAGUCCUUGUCCCAAGGACGAGUUGUACCAGUGAUCACCCUUUCUGGGGAAUCCUGCUCAAGCUCCUGGUCCAUCUUCCACAGCCGUAUACAUCAAGGAGGCAUUGGGCCCGUCACUCCGAGAUAGUACACCUUUCAACUGGCUGACAUAAAAUACCGGAUGAAUUUUCACCCCAGCUGGCAGCCGCACCCGAUAAGCCGCUUUACCAAUGCGCUCCAACACUUCAUAUGGACCAGCAUAUCGAUGGGAGAGUUUAUCACUCUUCCCUAUCCGUAAAGGCACCAAGGUGUUCCGCCGCUCACUUGACGGAAAGAUCACUCGCACAAAGACGAGAUCACCCACCUUAUAUUCCCGGAAUUGGCGAUGCUCAUUAGCAAACUUCUCCGCUCUAUCUUGAGCUGCUUGCAAAUUCUGUUUGCACACCACCAGAAUCUCAUCAAGUUCUGUGGCCAGAUCAGUUGCCUCGGAAUCAAGCUUUUCUUGAACGUCCUUACUCAAAUGCAAUCCCAACUCCACCGCUGUUCGAGGAUGCCUUCCAAACAUCGCAAAGUAAGGACUUAGCUUGGUUCCACUGUGUUGGCUAUUGUUGUAAGCAAAUUGCACCAACGGAAGAUAUAGAUCCCAUUGUCCUUGCCUUUGACCAAUGCUACAACAUAGCAUAUCCUCCACCACUUGAUUCACACGCUCAGUUUGCCCAUCCGUCUGAGGAUGAUCUCCACUCGAGAGUUUCAAAGUCACUUGCAUAACCUUUGCAAAGCUUUUCCAAAAUCCACUGGUGAACUUUGAAUCUCGAUCACUAAUGAUGUCCUCCGGCAAACCAAAAUUAGGAAAAACCUUCUCCAAGUAAACCGCAGCCAAGUCUGAGGCAGUGACAGUCUUCCGAAGAGCCAACAACCGCACAUACUUCGUCAACCGAUCCACUAUGACCCAUACUUGCUCCUUUUGCCUCUGUGUUCGUGGCAAACAAGUGGUGAAGUCCAUAGAGAUACUACACCAACGGCUCUGAGGAAUAGGUAAAGGUUGCAAAAGUCCCCCCCGGCUUCUCCCGUGGCACCUUAACCCGCUGAUAAAGCUCGCAUGAUUUACAAUACUUGAGGAUAUCAGCCUUCAUAUUCCUCCAAUAAAAGUUGCGCUUAAUCAACUCAUACGUCUUCUUCCCCCCAAAAUGACCGGCCUCUGGACGAUCAUGAUAGUGGAAUAAAACUUGAGUAAUUAACGCAUCCACCUGUGGCAAAUAGACACGGCCAUUAUAGUAGAGAAUCCCAUCCACCAAUGAGAAAGGGGCUUCCAUCUGGGCUCGCAAAGAGGCUACCUCAACAUCCUGAGCCUGAGCAUGCUCAACCAAUUGCCCAAACUCGCUGACCAUCUUACUCAAAUGAUGACAAAAUCGUGUUCGUAACGUUGUCACAUGACGAACACGAGAUAAAGCAUCCGCCACCACAUUUGAUUUUCCCGGACGAUGCUCAAUAGGAAACUCCCCAAACUCCAUGAGUUUGACCAUCCAAUGAGCUUGCCUAGUGUUCAACUCCUUCUGUGUGAAAAGAUACACAAGUGGUUUGUGAUCUGUCAACACCACGAACACUGCACCAUAAAGAUAGUGCCGCCACGUCCGCAAAGCAUGAACAAUAGAGAGUAACUCUUGCUCAUAUGUGGAAUAGCGUUGCUCUGCGGAAUUCAAAGUUCGACUCUCAUAUGCAAUAGUCUGUCCCUUUUGCAUGAGAACUCCUCCCAGUGCAUAACCACUCGCAUCGCAUGUCACCUCGUAAGGUUUCGAUGGAUCAGCAAUGCGAAGCACUGGAGCCUUGCUCAACAAUCGUUUCAGCGCCACAAAACUCUCCUCUUGUGGCGUCUUCCACUCAAAUGGCACAUUCUUACGUAACAACCGCGUCAAAGGAAUAGCCACCUCUGCAAACUUAUGUUGGAAACGUCGGUAGUAACUAGCCAUACCAAGAAAACUGCGCAACUUAGCCACUGUAGUCGGUGUAGGCCAGUUUUCCACCACAGCCACCUUCCUUGGAUCCGUCUUGACACCCUUAGAUGUCACAAUAUGGCCUAGAUAUUCCACCUCCGACUUUGCAAAUUCACAUUUGCUCUUCUUCGCAUAAAGUUUGCUGUCUCGAAGUAACAAAAGAACCUUGCGCAAAUGCACCCUAUGCUCCUCCGUAUUCUUGCUAAAAACAAGAAUAUCGUCCAAGAAAAUCUCCACAAACUCAUGAAGAUAACGCCCAAAGACCUCCGUCAUCAACCGAGUAAAUGUGGCUGGUGCAUUCGUCAAACCAAACGGCAUAACUGUAAACUCAAAAUGUCCGAAGCUUGUGUUGAAUGCCGUCUUGGAGAUAAUCAUCCAUUGCAAUCUGAUGAUAUCCACUCCUCAGAUCAAUCUUGGUAAACACUCGUGCUUCACCAAGCUUGUCUAGGAUAUCAUCUACACGUGGCAUCGGCAUCUUAUCCUUCACUGUCUUCUUGUUCAAAGCGCGGUAGUCAAUACACAUUUGCAUUGAACCGUCCUUCUUCUUCACAAGCAAGACUGGAGCACCAAAUGGAGACUUACUUGGCUGAAUGAAUCCAAACUCAAGUAACUCCUUGACUUGUCGUUGAACUUCUUGCUCCUCCGCAUAACUUAACCGAAAUGGACGCCAGUAAAUUGGCCGCGUCCCCGGCUCCAAUGUAAUCCCAUGCUCCACACCUCGUAAUGGAGGCAAUCCAUGAGGAAGUUCAGAUGGAAAAACAUCAGAAAACUCGUCGAGUACAUCCCGUAACUGCGGACAUUCAGCCUUGUAGUGUCCAAGUUCGCCGCAAUGAUGACAACCCUGUCUAUAAUUCUUCACAAAGCAUUUCUGCUUCUUGGACCCCUUUGCAUUAGAAGUAGUCACCACCGACUUCAACUUGUGAUGCUUGUUCCCAUCCUUGUUACCACGGCGAUCAUCACAACGAUUCUCGACACGCUUAAUGCUCCACUUUAUCUCUGGAUCCACCUUCACCAACCAUGGCAUCCCAAGGAUGAGAUCCACACGAUGGAUAUCCGCGNNNNNNNNNNNNNNNNNNNNNNNNNNNNNNNNNNNNNNNNNNNNNNNNNNNNNNNNNNNNNNNNNNNNNNNNNNNNNNNNNNNNNNNNNNNNNNNNNNNNNNNNNNNNNNNNNNNNNNNNNNNNNNNNNNNNNNNNNNNNNNNNNNNNNNNNNNNNNNNNNNNNNNNNNCGCUCCCACUAUCCAAUAAAAUCCGCACUGGAUCGCCACGGAACACGCCCUCCAGCAUUAAAGCUGAUUCACGCAUAUCCUCGAGCUCCAUCUUGUUCCACACACAGUUGAGUUGACGAGCAAUAACCGAAUGGACGCCAGUAAAUUGGCCGCGUCCCCGGCUCCAAUGUAAUCCCAUGCUCCACACCUCGUAAUGGAGGCAAUCCAUGAGGAAGUUCAGAUGGAAAAACAUCAGAAAACUCGUCGAGUACAUCCCGUAACUGCGGACAAUCAGCCUUGUAGUGUCCAAGUUCGCCGCAAUGAUGACAACCCUGUCUAUAAUUCUUCACAAAGAACUUCUGCUUCUUGGACCCCUUUGCAUCUGAAGUAGUCACCACCGACUUCAACUUGUGAUGCUUGUUCCCAUCCUUGUGUCCACGGCGAUCAUCACAACGAUUCUCGACAGAAGGACUCCGCGAACGCUUGCGAGACUUGUGCUUGUCAUUGUCAAGUCGACGAGCCGCAUCAAAGAGCUCCUCCAAACUCUUUGUAGGCUGAGAAUGACGCAAGUGUUGCCGCAUGCUCUCACUAUGUAGGCCAUCAAUGAAGUAGGACUUGUUCUGAUCUGGAUCCUUCGUUGGAACACGACUAAUCAAGCGAGUAAGCUUCUCAAUAUAAUCCCCGAGCGUCAUUUUCCCUUGCUGGAAAUGGCGAAGUUCUGUACGAGCAUUCUCCACGUCGUAAUGAGGGGCAAAACGUAAACGGAAAGCAGCCUCAAACUCAUCCAUGGUAGACACUGGUGGUUUCUUAUCCACAACACGGGACUCCUCAAGCCAAUUCCACCAUCGAAGACCCGCAUCACGCAAAACCAUCGGAAUAGCCACUAAAGCCUCUGCAUCUGGAGUUCCUCUAGCAGCCAAAAACUUCUUCACAUUGGCUAGCCAAGCAAGACACUCGUCCACACCACCAUCACUGGAAAAGGUUGGAAUCUUGAGUCGAUCUACCAAAGAAGGUUUACUUGGAGCGCUACCCCGUCCAGCCUCGAGUGCCUCAACACGCCCACGCAUGGUAUCCAUCAUGCCAUGCAUCUCGUCUUGCAUCUCUUACUGAUUUUUAUUAAGGGCUCGCAGCUCAUGAACCACAUCUUGAAUGGUCCAAAUCUCCGCAGCUUCGUCGGCACCACCAUCGACAAUAGGAUUCCAGCGUUCAGCUUGGUCGGCCAUCGCAACCAAUGCUCUGAUACCAAUGUUAUGAUCCGGCGCAAAAAGACAAAGAUCUCAUUGCCCUAGACUAUGCUACGCCACCUCUUGAGGUUCCUCACCACCCAACCACCCCCGAGCUACCUCAAAAGCUCCACUGCGCCGCCGCUCCACCGUGAGCCCUAGGGUAGGUUAAGUCCCUUACCCUAACAUGCCUUAAUAUACCCUUGAGCCUCCCUUUGACCGACGUUGACCACGUAGUCAAAGCUGGCACCUAACAUACAGCAUGUGAUGCACUAUCAUUCGAUCUCAAUAAAAGAAAAAAAACUAAUUUGAUAUUGCAAGUACUGAAAGAUAGUUCUUUAAAGAACUUCUUACCAUAUUUUGUUGGAGCAUACUGAUGCCAAUGGAAAGUAAACCUGCUAACUACUAAAGCAUAUUCGUACUUACAAGUAAAAAUUGAUUACUCCCUAUUAAUCUUAUAAAAAAUACGAAACACUUUAAACCUGGUUUAUUGUAGCUAUCCGUUGGAGUAUUUCUCAAAAACUAA
RNAcentral lists this long non-coding RNA (5261 nucleotides) under Selaginella moellendorffii. RNAcentral describes it as "long non-coding RNA (SMOE_LNC001735)". Lineage: Eukaryota; Viridiplantae; Streptophyta; Lycopodiopsida; Selaginellales; Selaginellaceae. The record is from RNAcentral.